Molecule: ribosomal RNA, 630 nt
Filed under: Pseudomigadops sp. PSM1
Lineage: Eukaryota; Metazoa; Arthropoda; Insecta; Coleoptera; Carabidae
Description: partial 16S ribosomal RNA
Rfam family: Bacterial large subunit ribosomal RNA
Source: RNAcentral
UUGAAUUUUAAUUUAAAGUCUAGCCUGCCCACUGAAAUUAAUUUUAAUGGCCGCAGUAUUUUGACUGUGCAAAGGUAGCAUAAUCAUUAGUUUUUUAAUUGAAAGCUUGUAUGAAAGGUUGGACGAGGUAAAAUCUGUCUCUAUUUAAUUUAUUUUAGAAUUUAAUUUUUAAGUUAAAAAGCUUAAAUUUUAUUAAAAGACGAGAAGACCCUAUAGAUCUUUAUAAUUUUUGUUAUAAAUUUAAUUAUGAAUUAUUUAGAAUUUAUAAUAUAAAUUAUUUUAUUGGGGUAAUAAAAAGAUUAAAAUAAUUCUUUUUUAUUUUUAACAUUAAUUUAUGAAUUUAAUGAUCCAAUUUUAUUGAUUAUAAGAUUAAGUUACCUUAGGGAUAACAGCGUAAUUUUUUUAGAGAGUUCAUAUCGAUAAAAAAGUUUGCGACCUCGAUGUUGGAUUAAAGAUUAGUUUAGGUGUAGAAGUUUAAAUUUUUGGUCUGUUCGACCAUUAAAUCUUUACAUGAUCUGAGUUCAGACCGGCGUAAGCCAGGUCGGUUUCUAUCUUUAAUAAUUUUAAAAUAUUUUAGUACGAAAGGACCAAAUAUUUAAUAUAUUUAUAUUUUAUUUUUUGAAUAUUAUU